Molecule: non-coding RNA, 656 nt
Organism: Bemisia tabaci
Lineage: Eukaryota; Metazoa; Arthropoda; Insecta; Hemiptera; Aleyrodidae
Source: RefSeq, a predicted model, not a curated record
AUGGAGGAUCGGAUCCCAGACCACUUUCCCUGCAGCCUGAGGGGUCUGACCGCAUGAAUAUGGAAAAUAUAAUUGAAGCAACAGCGGAAAUUUCCGAGGGAUCGGAUGUGUUUCAAGACGACGGCCCUUAAGCGUGAAAAAUGCGCUUAUAGAGGGAGAAUGUGGGUUUCCUCCCCGCAACCACGAAUUUUCUUCAUCUUAAACGGAUUAUCAGGGUGAAUGUUUAUGGAGGGUGCAGCGCGAUGAUAGGAGUGCGUGGAUAUUCCGGACGGGACUAUCAUUUGAUUCCCCCGCAACGGAUAGUGUACCCGAAAGGAUUCAAAAGCGCCUCAGUCAAACCGAAAGCAGAGGUCAAUCAAUAGCUGGUCAGCACUAAUUGUGAGAAGGAUGAUACAUUUUGAUGCAGGUGAAACCUCACCAAGCUAGACAAGAAAUAGGGAAAUGCUUGACUGGGAUGUUUGAAUCAGCAUUGUUUGCUGACUGCCACAAAAAUGCAUCUAGGAACAUGAAACUUAUUUUGAUGCUUCGGACCAGUGAAAUGUAUCGUUAUAGAAGAGGUAUCAUCUCUAAUACGGCUACUUUUUUUUCUCAAAUCAAAUAUAGUGCAAACAUUGUAAAGGUGAUCCUCAAGGAAUAAAGGGCGCUCAAGAAGUAUA